CCUACGGGUGGCUGCAGUGGGGAAUAUUGGACAAUGGGCGAAAGCCUGAUCCAGCCAUGCCGCGUGUGUGAAGAAGGCCUUCGGGUUGUAAAGCACUUUCAGUGGGGAAGAAAGCCUUGGGGCUAAUACCCUCGAGGAAGGACAUCACCCACAGAAGAAGCACCGGCUAACUCCGUGCCAGCAGCCGCGGUAAUACGGAGGGUGCGAGCGUUAAUCGGAAUUACUGGGCGUAAAGCGCGCGUAGGCGGUCUGAUAAGCCGGUUGUGAAAGCCCCGGGCUCAACCUGGGAACGGCAUCCGGAACUGUCAGGCUAGAGUGCAGGAGAGGAAGAUAGAAUUCCCGGUGUAGCGGUGAAAUGCGUAGAGAUCGGGAGGAAUACCAGUGGCGAAGGCGGCCUUCUGGACUGACACUGACGCUGAGGUGCGAAAGCGUGGGUAGCAAACAGGAUUAGAUACCCCAGUAGUC
This 465-nucleotide ribosomal RNA is filed under the name Vreelandella stevensii. RNAcentral's name for it is "partial 16S ribosomal RNA". It matches the Rfam family "Bacterial small subunit ribosomal RNA", at positions 338 to 795 of the family's 1533-position model. Lineage: Bacteria; Pseudomonadati; Pseudomonadota; Gammaproteobacteria; Oceanospirillales; Halomonadaceae. The record is from RNAcentral.